This 24-nucleotide non-coding RNA is filed under the name Arabidopsis thaliana (thale cress). Lineage: Eukaryota; Viridiplantae; Streptophyta; Magnoliopsida; Brassicales; Brassicaceae. The record is from RNAcentral.
UGGCAUACCUAUGUAAUUACUUAC